Molecule: ribosomal RNA, 510 nt
Filed under: Triticum aestivum (bread wheat)
Lineage: Eukaryota; Viridiplantae; Streptophyta; Magnoliopsida; Poales; Poaceae
Description: partial small subunit ribosomal RNA
Source: RNAcentral
AUGCAGUUCAUCAAACGAACGGCAUCAAAUGUUUACGGGAACGAUAACUGCCGAACAUUCGGAUUUUUUGAACCUGCAGCCGAACGUGCGUGUAGCCGUUGCACGAAUUUUGAUGGUAUCCCAUUGCCACGUCAUCCCAGGGACGCGUUCGGGUUGAAGGCAAAUUCCCCCGAACGUUUUUUUACUAGCGUACCUUAUCCUUUCCCCGACAAUCACCGGCUCACCCACUCCCCCGAGUAUCCCCUCACCUUAUCAUUCCGGCGAUUACAGCGGCGAGGCCUUUCGGCGGUUGGAGCAGCGGCGUGCGGGGCACGAGUGCUGCGGGAGGGCGCCGUAUGCGGGCACCACGUUGUGAACCUGCGGGAGGAGGCGGCGGCGAGGAUGGCCCGCGGGAGGAGGCGGCGAGGAUGCGGCCCGCGGGAGGAGGCGGCGAGGUUGCGACCCGCGGGGAGGGGGCAACGGCGAGUGCGGCUGCGAGGAUGCGGCCCGCGGGAGGAGGCGGCGAGGUAG